UGGGUUGAUGAGCGUGAAGCCUUCGCUCGGUUGGAUUUUUCUUCAUUGCUACUCUUGGCUUGCAGGAAUUCCUCAUUUGAGGCAUCGUAAUUGUUUGGUCUGCCCUUGACAAGUUGGUGUGAAGGUUGGGUCUUGCGCAAUGGGAACCUUGUGAACCAUGUCAGGUCCGGAAGGAAGCAGCAUUAAGCAGUGUUCUCAUGUGCCGCGAGUCGCCUGGCCCGAGCUAACUAUCAGGGUAACGCAGAUGAUUGCAUGUCGAUGUGAGGUGCGCGACACUAA
This 279-nucleotide signal recognition particle RNA is filed under the name Listeria monocytogenes. The stretch from base 23 to 273 matches the Rfam family "Bacterial large signal recognition particle RNA". From Rfam's summary of the family: The signal recognition particle (SRP) is a universally conserved ribonucleoprotein involved in the co-translational targeting of proteins to membranes. The record is from RNAcentral. Lineage: Bacteria; Bacillati; Bacillota; Bacilli; Caryophanales; Listeriaceae.